AACGAACGCUGGCGGCAGGCUUAACACAUGCAAGUCGAACGCACAUAUCUUUCGGGGUGUGUGAGUGGCAGACGGGUGCGUAACACGUAGGUGACCUGCCUUCAAGUGGGGAAUAACUGUCCUAACGGAUGGCUAAUACCGCAUACGUUCACGGCGUCAAGUCGUGAGUAAAGCCUUCGGGCGCUUGGAGAGGGGCCUGCGGCGGAUUAGCUAGUUGGUGGGGUAACGGCCUACCAAGGCGAUGAUCCGUAGGGGGCGUGAGAGCGUGGCCCCCCACACUGGCACUGAGAUACGGGCCAGACUCCUACGGGAGGCAG
RNAcentral lists this ribosomal RNA (317 nucleotides) under uncultured Chloroflexota bacterium. RNAcentral's name for it is "bacterial SSU rRNA". It matches the Rfam family "Bacterial small subunit ribosomal RNA", at positions 29 to 351 of the family's 1533-position model. The record is from RNAcentral. Lineage: Bacteria; Bacillati; Chloroflexota.